AAUAAAGCUUUGAAAAUUAAUAUUAAAUAAACCAUAAGUCACAUGACAAUAUUUUAAACAUGAAAGUUGAUGAGCAGAACGAGGCGAACUCGGUACAAUAUCCAUUCGUGUGUCACGCUUCCCUAGCAUAGCAAACGAGGAACUUUUCCACCGUUUCUUCUCACCGGUAGUAGCCAGAGACCCGGGAAAUAUCAUCUGAUAUUUUCCCGAUCCGUCUAUGACGGAUGUUACUACGUUAGCUCAUGCCUAGCGCUGCCUUUAGAAAUGUCUUGCUUUGUGAUGCUUUUGAUUGCUCUCUUAUUUAUUGUGUUUCCCCUACGUUACUUCCUUUCCGGUAGACCUCGAGACCGAUGAUGUUCUGGUGAUCGACUACUUCCCGGUCGAGGAUCCAUUUGCAGAGCAACCAGGCAAGCAAAC
RNAcentral lists this long non-coding RNA (417 nucleotides) under Hordeum vulgare. RNAcentral's name for it is "long non-coding RNA (HVUL_LNC010170)". Lineage: Eukaryota; Viridiplantae; Streptophyta; Magnoliopsida; Poales; Poaceae. The record is from RNAcentral.